CAGCAAGAGAAACACAAAGCAUUAAUUAUAAGGGAACUCCCAUAAGCCUAUCAGCUGACUUCACUAAGGAAAUAAUACAGGUCAGAAGACAGUGGCAAGGUAUAUUCAAAGUUCUAAAAUGGAAAAAUUUACAUCUUGGGAGGAGGACAAGAUGGCGGAGGAGUAGGGGGACACGCUCGCCCUCUCCCACAAACACAACAAAAAAAGCACAUCUACAGAAGAAAUGACUCGCACAGAACAACAACCAAUCGCUGGCAGAGGAACCUAAACUCCAAUAACGGCAAGAAGUUCGUGACAUUAUUGGGCAGAACGGGAGAAAAGAGGAGAGUGAGAGAAGGUGAAUCCGAGCGGGACGGGCGCUCCCGAAAGGGAACUGCGGAGGAGAAAGGGAUCCCGCACCCUGGAAAGUCUCCUACCGGGGGAAAGAUCAAACGAACCGGAGGAAUCUCCAGAUGCAGAGAAGAGUGUAGCAGUAAGUCGGAGUACGGAAAAACGAUCAAGAACCCAACGGACCAUCUGAACUACGGGCACAGUCACCAAAAAUUGAGACGCCUGGGUGGGGGCUGGGCACCGAAUCCUCGGCUCCAGAGGUUAGUCCCCGGGAAAGGGCCGGGGGACGCCUGGGUGGGGGCUGGGCACCAAGACCUCAGCUCUGAAGGUUGGUCCCCGAGAGGGGGCCGGGGGACGCCUGGGUUGGGGCUGGGCACCGAGACCUCGCCUCCGAAGGUUAGUCCCCAAGAAAGGGCCGGGGGGCGCCGCCUGGGGGGGGCUGGGCACCGAGACCUCGGCUCCAGAGAUUAGUCCCCGGGCUAGGGGGCGGGGAAGAGCGGAAACUGCUUGGGAGGUCUCUAAACCAUUUGACGGGGCAGAGACUGCCUGGGAGACUAGAAAACAAAGCUGUCGCAGAGGAAGGGAGCAAUACUCUAGGGGCGGGGAAGUGGAAAGCCGCCUCAGAGGGAACCUGGGAGAAGAGCCUGGUCUGCGCCCGUGCUGGGGAGGGGAGAGAAGAAGGG
Molecule: long non-coding RNA, 1013 nt
Filed under: Sus scrofa (pig)
Lineage: Eukaryota; Metazoa; Chordata; Mammalia; Artiodactyla; Suidae
Description: lncRNA (ENSSSCG00070004287.1)
Source: RNAcentral